RNAcentral lists this ribosomal RNA (442 nucleotides) under uncultured prokaryote. RNAcentral describes it as "bacterial SSU rRNA". It matches the Rfam family "Bacterial small subunit ribosomal RNA", at positions 355 to 796 of the family's 1533-position model. The record is from RNAcentral.
UCGAUAAUCUUCGGCAAUGGGCGAAAGCCUGACCGAGCAAUGCCGCGUGCGGGAUGAAGGCCCUCGGGUUGUAAACCGCUGUCAGUUGGGAGGAAGGCUCUGUGAAGAGCAGAGUUUGACCUAUCUUCAGAGGAAGUACGGGCUAAGUUCGUGCCAGCAGCCGCGGUAACACGAACCGUACGAACGUUAUUCGGAAUCAUUGGGCUUAAAGGGUGCGUAGGCGGCGCAGUAAGUCGGGUGUGAAAGCCCACGGCUCAACCGUGGUAUUGCGCCCGCUACUGCUGUGCUCGAGGGAGACAGGGGUAAGCGGCACUGAUGGUUGAGCGGUGAAAUGCGUUGAUAUCAUCAGGAACACCAGUGGCGUAAGCGGCUUACUGGGUCUCUUCUGACGCUGAGGCACGAAAGCUAGGGUAGCGAACGGGAUUAGAUACCGCCGUAGUCC